This 1978-nucleotide long non-coding RNA is filed under the name Mytilus galloprovincialis (Mediterranean mussel). The record is from RNAcentral. Lineage: Eukaryota; Metazoa; Mollusca; Bivalvia; Mytilida; Mytilidae.
GCCGAUAAACUUCCUGGAGGAUGACAAUUUAGCCAUUAUUUAUACAGCUGCGUUUGGAUGUACUUCAGUGAACCUGGUGUCUUUAAUAUUUCAAAAAGGAUCAGUUUUAGACUCGUUGAAUAUUCCAACAUUAGUAAGCCCCUGGGUCAGAGGUAAGCGAUCAAUGUUUUUCAAAGUUUAUGCUCAAUACAAAGCAAUAACAUGUUGAAUCGUUAAUACGGUUAGAUAUAUAUGAGAAAUUGGCUACACAUGGCAUACAUUAUACAACUCACAUAUCUUCGCUAUGUUGUAUGUAGAAGUCCCCGACUUUUUGUGCUAUUAAUUGCACUUUGUUAAAACAACUGUUUCACAUACAACGCCUCUUUUUCGGAGAUAUUGUUUAUCUACUAUUUUCAAAGUAUAAUCUCUAUGUUUGACCUUAUAGAGACACAAUAUAGGAGUUUUACCAGUAUUUACAUUUUGUAUAUACACAGAUAUCGGUCGAAUUUGAAUUUCUUUCUUCUUAUUAUCAUAUUUUGGAAUAAAAAGUAGAGCUCUAAUUACUAUCCUUAUGCUAAAUUAUAUCGAUGUCAAACAUAUUAUUUGGAGGUUUCCUUAUAUCUGCAGUUAAUUCGGGAUAAACUAAUUACAAUAAAACUUGAAAUCUAAUAAUUGUUUGUCAUUCUGUCAUCCUAAGUGCUAUGUGUUUCAUUAUUCUACAUUGGCUAGAUGUAUACGAGGAGGGUUGAGGGUUAAAAUUUAGUUCAUUUAUAUUUUUUGGUAUUUAUUGUGACGUCCAUUUUCAUUGAACUAGUAGACAAUUUUAUGUAGGGGCCAACUGAGGACCGCCACCAGGUGAGGGAUUUUCUCGCUGCGUUGAAAAGCAAUUGGUGGCCUUCGGCUGAUGUCUGUUCUUUGGUUGGUUUGUUGUCUCUGUGACAUAUUCGUCAUUUCAAUUAUCAAUUAUAUGAAUUCAUUCAUGACAGUUGAUCAAUUCAAAGAUCUCAAUUAAAUUUUAGUUCCAAUAUGUCUUUUGACGAUAUAUCACCACCGUGAACAAUGAUCACCUAGGUCUUGCCACUAAUGCCAAAAAUUAAAAUAAAUAGCCUAGGCUAGAAAAUAUGCUACUAAGUCAAACCUGUUCAGCCACUAGGACACAUGCAUUACGUCAUAUUACCAUGCACACCGGCUCAGUAUACGCCUGUUUGCUUACUUUGGGCAGACAGAUUCAGACAGAUUCACCUUGACAUCAAAUGACAUUCCGCAAUUCGUUUGUCUUUAAUACAAGUAAAUACAUUCUAAGUUGGACAAAGGUGUUGUGGUUGCGGGCUCAGCAUUUAAAGGAGUAAUAGGGUGUAAAAAAGACGGAGUUUAGCCAUAGUCGUAAUGAAAAUUGAUUUGUAAUAUAAACAUUUAAAUUCAAAAUAUCAAUUAUCUAAUUAUCACUAUCAAAUGCAUGUGAGUUAGAAUACUCUUUCAUGAAUAUUUGAAAAUGGUGCUUCAGACGAUUAUAUGUUACAGUUUAGACCUUUCAUUCGUUUAAACUAUAAUUAGCUUUCUAAAUUUAAUACUGAACGGAUAUUCCCUAUGAUGUACUAGGGAUAACUCCUGCCUUACUAAUUUAAAGGCAUUUCACUGUAUGUUGUUGUCCAAGAGAUUUAAGAGUAAAGACAAAAAACUGAUUAUCGAAAGCAUUAUAAUUAUGUACCACACUUCAGUGCCUAGCGGGGCCAGGGAAGACUCUGUCCAAUACUUUGUUCUUCUUGUUUAUUACGAAUAAGCGUUUGAAAGAAUUACUUGCCAAAGAAUGGGGGUUUGAAAGACUUUUGUGUUCAUCUUAUACGUUGUUACUUUUAAUCAUACCAUUGUUUUUUUCAGUUUUUGUUUGGCUGCUGAUGGCACUGUUUGUGACCCUAAAAUUUUAUCCUGUAUUUGCUGUUAUAAGAUGCAAAAGAAUUAUCAUCGAACCUUUAAUUGGCUUUUUCUACACUACAUUCAU